Molecule: ribosomal RNA, 486 nt
Filed under: uncultured bacterium
Lineage: Bacteria
Description: partial 16S ribosomal RNA
Rfam family: Bacterial small subunit ribosomal RNA
Source: RNAcentral
AUUGAACGCUGGCGGCAUGCCUUACACAUGCAAGUCGAACGGCAGCACGGGUGCUUGCACCUGGUGGCGAGUGGCGAACGGGUGAGUAAUACAUCGGAACAUGUCCUGUAGUGGGGGAUAGCCCGGCGAAAGCCGGAUUAAUACCGCAUACGAUCUACGGAUGACAGCGGGGGACCUUCGGGCCUCGCGCUAUAGGGUUGGCCGAUGGCUGUUAAGCUAGUGGGUGGGGUAAAGGGCUACCCAGGGGACGUUACGUAUCUGGUCUGAGAGGACGACCAGCCGCACUGGGACUGAGACACGGCCCAGACGCCUACGGGAGGCAGCCGUGGGGAAUUGUGGAGAAGGGGCGAAAGCCUGAGCCAGCAAUGCCGCGGGUGUGAAGAAGGCCUUCGGGUUGUAAAGCACUUUUGUCCGGAAAGAAAUCCUUGGCCCUAAUACGGUCGGGGGAUGACGGUACCGGAAGAAUGAGCAACGGCUAACUACGUG